This 499-nucleotide ribosomal RNA is filed under the name uncultured Glomus. RNAcentral's name for it is "SSU rRNA". It matches the Rfam family "Eukaryotic small subunit ribosomal RNA", at positions 569 to 1073 of the family's 1831-position model. The record is from RNAcentral. Lineage: Eukaryota; Fungi; Glomeromycota; Glomeromycetes; Glomerales; Glomeraceae.
AGCAGCCGCGGUAAUUCCAGCUCCAAUAGCGUAUAUUAAAGUUGUUGCAGUUAAAAAGCUCGUAGUUGAACUUCGGGAUCAAUUGAUUGGUCAUGCCUUGGUAUGUACUGUUCAUAUUGGUUCUCACCUUCUAAUGAACCAUAAUGUCAUUUAUUUGAUGUUAUGGGGAAUUAGGACUGUUACCUUGAAAAAAUUAGAGUGUUUAAAGCAGGCUCACGCUUGAAUACAUUAGCAUGGAAUAAUGAAAUAGGACAUCGCAUUCUAUUUUGUUGGUUUCUAGGAUCGAUGUAAUGAUUAAUAGGGAUAGUUGGGGGCAUUAGUAUUCAAUUGUCAGAGGUGAAAUUCUUGGAUUUAUUGAAGACUAACUACUGCGAAAGCAUUUGCCAAGGAUGUUUUCAUUAAUCAAGAACGAAAGUUAGGGGAUCGAAGACGAUCAGAUACCGUCGUAGUCUUAACCAUAAACUAUGCCGACUAGGGAUCGGAUGAUGUUGAUUUUUUU